Molecule: long non-coding RNA, 584 nt
Organism: Homo sapiens (human)
Lineage: Eukaryota; Metazoa; Chordata; Mammalia; Primates; Hominidae
Source: Ensembl
CUCAGAAGCAAUGAGUUCUGGUUAAAAAAAAGGGCUCGAUAGACGGAAAAAAUGAAGGCUUAAAGAACUGACAACAAAAUAUUAACAUUUGGCUUGUGGAAUUCUUACACUCUCGUAAGCAGAAAAAACAAAUGUUAUGGCAAAAAAGUGUCUCAGACAAAUCCGUCUUGGGGGGAAAAAAAUUAAAAGAAUGAGAAAAACAGACUUCGGAAUAAAUAGACCCAAAGGAGGAAGUAUUGAAAAUGGCAAGAUUCACUUUUACAAACUUAUUUGGAACCACGGCAGAUGGCCAGGGCAGGGAUUUUGCAAGGCAGCUCCAGUUGAGCAGUUGAUUUCUCACCGCCCACCCCCGACCCCACCACUAUUGAUCAUGAGGUGCUUUGAGGGGUCCGGGUUUGGAGGACUGAAACACCGUGGGAUCUUGGAACAGCUCUUCCUUGUUGGUGAUCCCUUAUUAAGAAGCCCUCCAGCCUGACAAUGCUGAAGCCCUGGAGGUUGGAGCCACUCAGGAUUGGAUGCUCCACGAAGCCCUCACCAGAACAGAUGCUGGCACCAUGCUUCCUGUACAGCCCACAAACUGCAAG